CCUGAACAGCCAGGCUAUAAAUUGAACGCCGGAGGCAAAUGAGAAUAAUUAUUUCAACUCUUCAAGAUUCUAAGGCCACAGACCAUUGAAACAUAAAGAAGACUAUAUAUGGAAUCUAGGAAGAGGAAAGGAAUUUGGGACAACUAUUUAAGACUGCAAGAGAAGAGCCACAGCUUGAGCCAAGGAUUUUUUGGAAGUUUAUCCACAAGACCUCAGGAGCUAGAUUCCAAUCUUUCUGAUUCAAAGAAUCCCCAAACUCAAUGAGGACACGUUUUCCUCCCGAGAACAGCAGAAUGGUAACAAAGAACACAUGAAAAGAAAAUGCUUUCAAGGACCAAAGGAAUUCAUCUACAAAUAUGGAAUUUCCAGCAUGGAAGUCAGUGACAAAGCCCUGGCAUACCCCCAUCGCAGGUGUCGUGAGAACACCGUCCAGUGGGACGAGGCCAGCCCUGCCCUGAGAAGCUGAGAUUCCCACCCCACCUGGAGGGAGCUGAGCACCCUCACAGCAACUCUGAGCCCCUGACUCCAAAGGAGACUCUUCUCCUGUGGUAUCAGACGUAGAGGGCGGGCUCCCUUAAAGUAAAAUUCCACAACAGGGCAGUAGAAAGAUGCAAUGAAACAUAUACGAGUUAUUAAAUAUUGUCAUCAAGAUGAGUAAUAAAUCAGACAUUUUAUGGUUUCUGAUUAUAAAUUCCAUUUAUUCCAUAAGUGUUUAAAGAAAGAAAAAUGGAGACCCAACAGAGAUUUAAGCCUGCCCGAGAUGGGUAUAUUUCAUGAUUGCUUUGUGACUGCUGCAUCCUGGGUGGAAUAGGGGUGGGGGAGAUACAAAAGGGCCCUCUCAGGGCCAGGAAGAAUGAAUUGCUGGGUUUCUGCGGCUCUGUGAGUGCAUUCAUUGUCAUGUGAGACUCUUCCUAAGAAUUCUUUUGAAGUCAGGAAUUCUGGCCAGGUUCCUGGUGGACACACUCUUGAAGAUAGCCUACUCCUUCAAAUCCCAAAACCAACUUAAACAAGAGGCCAGGCGAGAAAAGCCAACGUGGGGAGACUCCAUAGGUCCUGGCAGGUGGCACUGAACAAUGCAGAUCCUUAACAGGAGGGAGGAGAUGAACUGUCCCAAAGAGUGGCUGCUGCAGAUCAGGGAGCUGGGCACAAUCCCAGCACAGCAAGUGUUCAUUCAGUAAAAAGUAUGCCUUGGGGCCUGGCGCAGUGCCUCACGCCUGCAAUCCCAGCACUUUGGGAGGCCGAGGUGGGUGGAUCACUUGAGGCAGGGAGUUCAAGACCAGCCUGGACAGCAUGGAGAAACCCCAUCUCUACUAAAAACACAAAAAUUACUUGGAUACGGUGGCUCAUGCCUGUAAUCCCAGUUACUUGGGAGGCUGUGGCACAAGAAUUGCUUGAACACAGGAGGCAGAGGUUGCAGUGAGCCAAGAUGGCACCACUGCUCUCCAGCCUGGGUGACAGAGUGAGACUCUGUCUCAAAAAAAAAAAAAAAAGUUAUGCUUUGUGUUCAUAAAACUAUGCCUUCUCCUCAUAUAGUACUUUACAGUUUACAGGUGUUAUUUCAUUACAUUUUGCACUACGGUUCUAGCAUAGCCAUUGUUAUUUUUAUUCACAGACAGAAAAAAAUGAGGUUGUCUCACUCAUAUAACCUGGCCUCUCUCAGCUCUGGUUGCUGUGGAGAGUAGCAUAAGUGAUAUCUCUUCAAUGGUGGUUCUACUGCACAAAGAGAAAACAAAACGUUGUCUUCUGGCCUUCCAAUGGCAGAAUUUGACCUGCUUUUGGCUUUGAAAUGCCUCAUAUGAUAUUCUUCUAGCAGAUUUGUCUAAUUAUAUUUUGCUUGGGCUAAGAUUAAAAUUAAUUGGUCUUUUCAUGAUCACACAUCAGGAGAGUAAUAGGACCAGGCACCUGAGACCAAGCCAGGGAUUAAAGAUUGGUUAUGGAUAAUCCACUAGCCAGAGAGUCUGAAUGUGGUGGGAGAUGAGUGGAGGAGACCCAGUGGGCCUCCGGCAGCUUGUUUAUCACUGGCAUCUUCAUCACAAGCUUUAUGUGACAGGAUUUCUCCUGAUGUGCCCACAGCUGCUGCCUCACUGCACGCACACAAGUGUGUGUACACAGGCACCCACACAGCUGGAGAAGCACACAUAUGCCUCCUUCUGCAACAUGCACACUGUUGAUUAGCCUCUGCGGAGUGCUGACUCUUGGAGAAAGACCAGAUAAAUCGCUUUGGAGAGGGAGAAAAGGAAAAAAAUAUGAUAAAGAAAAAAAAAUCUACUUUAUCCCCCUUCAAAUGCCACAAGAAAAUGUCACGGAAAUCGCUUUGCUGGAAAUAACAGAGAAGUUCAAAACAAAAUUGUUGAGUGUCACUCCUGGGCCCGACUCUCCCUUGCACUGGGCCCCUCCUCAGCCUGGGAGGCUCCUCGCUGCCUCUGCCACCACUCACCCUUCAGGAUGCCACUGCUGCAGCCUCCAGGAACUGAAAAACAGUUCUUGGAAAGCCUUCCACUAAAGGGAGUAAUCGAGAAUAAACAAAGGACAAAGACAUGAGUGGGAAAGAGCUCUUUCCCUGCCAGCUGGCCACUUCCAGCUCCAGGACAGUGUCCAUGAAGCCCACAGAAGGGAGACUCAUCAUCAUUUUCAAUGUCGUCAUUACCAAAAGCCUUUCUUAUGCGAUUCAUUGUGCAAGGCUGUGUACAGAAACUGUUGAAGGAUCCUUUUGCUUUCUUGUGACUUAAAAUCCAUGACAUUUCACAAUGCUACAAAAGGCGUCUCUGAUUUCCUUGGGUAUAGCUUUCUUUUUUCUUUUUAACUUUCUAUUCUUCGUCUAAUAUAACAGCACCACAGUGCACAACAGUGCUUGGCUGAAGGACAUGAAAACAUAAAUUUUCUGCAUUAUUAUAGAUUCAUCCA
This 2904-nucleotide long non-coding RNA is filed under the name Homo sapiens (human). RNAcentral describes it as "HSALNT0365891". Lineage: Eukaryota; Metazoa; Chordata; Mammalia; Primates; Hominidae. The record is from RNAcentral.